AAACCAACCGGGAUUGCCCCAGUAGCGGCGAGUGAAGCGGCAGGAGCUCUAGUUUGAAAUCUUCGGAGAUGUAGAGACGGGGAGUGGGCAUUGGAGUCCCCUGGAACGGGGCGCGACGCGAGGUGACAGCCCUCGGAGACCAGCCCCCUGUCUGGUGAGUCGAGUUGUUUGGGAAUGCAGCUCUAGUGGUGGUAUGCUCCAUCUGCGGCUAAAUAUUGGCGAGAGACCGAUAGCAGACAAGUACUGUGAAGG
Molecule: ribosomal RNA, 252 nt
Filed under: Pichia sorboxylosa
Lineage: Eukaryota; Fungi; Ascomycota; Pichiomycetes; Pichiales; Pichiaceae
Description: [Candida] sorboxylosa partial 26S ribosomal RNA
Rfam family: Eukaryotic large subunit ribosomal RNA
Source: RNAcentral